Molecule: ribosomal RNA, 332 nt
Filed under: uncultured bacterium
Lineage: Bacteria
Description: partial 16S ribosomal RNA
Rfam family: Bacterial small subunit ribosomal RNA
Source: RNAcentral
CCUACGGGAGGCAGCAGUGAGGAAUAUUGGUCAAUGGCCGCAAGGCUGAACCAGCCAAGCCGCGUGAAGGACGAAGGUGCCAAGCAUUGUAAACUUCUUUUGUCAAGGGACAAAAUCAGGCUCGAGAGUCUGUCUGAGGGUACUGGACGAAAAAGCAUCGGCUAACUCCGUGCCAGCAGCCGCGGUAAUACGGAGGAUGCGAGCGUUAUCCGGAUUUAUUGGGUUUAAAGGGUGCGUAGGCGGGCUGUUAAGUCAGAGGUAAAAGCCCAGGGCUCAACCCCGGCGAGCCGUUGAUACUGGCUGUCUUGAGAUGUCGAGAGGUAUGCGGAAUG